This is a long non-coding RNA of Diabrotica virgifera virgifera (western corn rootworm), 615 nucleotides long. RefSeq lists it as uncharacterized. NCBI's taxonomy places the organism in Eukaryota, Metazoa, Arthropoda, Insecta, Coleoptera, Chrysomelidae. The transcript is spliced from 2 exons. The record is from RefSeq and is a predicted model, not a curated record.
UGGCCUACUUCUCGCGAAAGUAACAACCACAGACAACUUGUAUAAUCUGAAGAGACAAGCGAGUGCAAGCGUACCACUUUUACUUUCCGUUGCAGUACUCGUAGUACCACUUUUGUUGUCGUUUACCGUUCUUAUCAAACGACACUAUAGAAAUUAGUGAUCAUUUUGGUUUUAAUAGUUGAAAAAUAAUAUUAAGUCCACAUAUAUAGUGCAAUUGUUCUUUCCAAUUUUUUUUUGGAUAAUAACGAUAACAAAGUAAACAUUGGAAAUUCGUAAUAUAUUGAAGAAGUAAAAAGCCCAAAAGGAAAGAUGUAUCCAUCAGCAGAUCCUCCACCCAGAUAAUGUUCUUAAUCUUCUGUCUAUUGGGUAGUGUAGACCAAAUUGGACUAGUGCAAGAUAAUCCUCCUGACUAUACUUAUAAACACAGCACCACUCCCAUGGACGUUUUUAUGGCUCUAUUUAUGGUUUGUACCCUUGAGGUGGUUAUGAUGAAGAUUUUGGUUUUCGACAAUACUCCAAAUAGAGAUGAGAGUUCUAGGACAGUAGUAAAUGACUUUUUUGAUAGAUAGUUCAAAAUUUGUUUUUCUAGUUAUGUUAAUAAAUAUUUAUAAUUAA